This 6840-nucleotide long non-coding RNA is filed under the name Nicotiana benthamiana. RNAcentral's name for it is "long non-coding RNA (NBEN_LNC023526)". The record is from RNAcentral. Lineage: Eukaryota; Viridiplantae; Streptophyta; Magnoliopsida; Solanales; Solanaceae.
AACUCACGCUUACACACUGAGCCGCAUGCUACCCCACUCUUGUGUCCUAAUUUACCACAAUCAACCAUUUCAUUGUUCUUUCUCCAUCAUCUUUUCCUAUGGCAUAUUUCCUCUUGUCUCCAUAGUCAUUUUUGGUUAAUUAUUCAAUUAUCCUUCAACCAUAGUAGAUCAUUGCCCUUCCAUAUUUGGGUAAGUAUCUUUUUCACCAAGACCCAUAAUGUUCUUCUUCAACAGAAAAUACAAAUUUUUUUUUGAAAAUCUCUGUAAGAAAAUCUCCAAGGCAAAGAUUCAAUUUCAAACGGCUAUCUUAGAGCCCUAAAAUUCACAAUCCCGCCUAAGAAUAUUAACCCUCGUUUGCCUCUAUAAUACUCACAUUUGGGAGAGUUUGAAGGCAAGUUCUGAACCGCCGGUCACCUCCCUCACAUCUGUUCCCUUUCCUUCAAAUACUUCUAAUCUCAAACUCGUUACUCGAAAAACAACCCAGUUUUUUUCUAAUCUCUUUUUCGUUUCUGUUCGGCUUUGAGGCAUAAAAGAACAAAAAUCUUUCGGUAUUUGCUCGCCGAAGUUGAAGUCGAUUUGUUGACCCGAGACCUGCUAGGCGCACCUCACUUCACUGCUCCGAAGAAGGUUAGUGACUUUGGAUCUCUUCUUCCCUCUUCUUUCAAAGCAUGAGCUAUUAGUUGUUUUAUUUUUGUGUAUCAAAGUCAUGGUUUAGGAUUUCUUUUACUUGGUUAUGUAUUCUGGCCGGGUUAAUUUAAAUGAGAAUGCUAUGUCUCUGAUUAAUUAUUGACAUGAAUCUGUCUCUUAAAGGAAAAGAGAAUAUUGAGAAGACUUAGAUAUCCUGAAACUGAUUGAGUUAUUAAAAUAUGUUAGCACAUCUGUGUUAUUCAAAAUUUGUUUUGGCACCAUGACUGAAGGACUAUAUGAUGCUUAAAUGUUUCCUUGUCUAUAUAUUGAGAAUCUCAUAUGGUUCAAAUGUUAAUCCGAAGUCAUGAAAUUUGCCGUUAACUCUUGUAUGUUAGUAAGGAUCAUGUACAUAGUUGUUUAUCUAUGUAGGCUAGUUUUGGAUGGAAAUUUGUGUUAAUAUUUUCUCUUGUCUAUACAUGAAAUACCAUGAUUUAGCUACUGUCCAUAUUAGAAAGUAUGUUCAAAGACUCUUUUAUUACGAGAUUGUAGAAAUUAUGUCCAUAAGAAUUGUGUUCUCAAUCUAAGUGCUCAUAAGAAUGUCGAUUUCUCAUAUUUAAUAUGUUAGCUAUUGUCACAUGUUUCUUGAUCUGGAAACUAUGUUCAUAGGAUAUGCUUAUCCAAAUAACCAUUUUAUAAUCUAUAAGAUGCUCUAAUUUCCAACUGAACUUAACAAAAGGAAAUACUUUUUGAAUGACUUUUGUAAUCUGUAAACCAUGCCGACAAAUAAAUAUGGAGAUUGUUUAAUUUAUCAAAGAAUGAAAUCCCUUGGGGCUACAGUUGAUUUGCUAGGUGUUGGAAAGAAUAUUAUAUUCUGCUGAUGUGUCAUUCCUUUUGCAUGAUAAAAUAUGACUUUGACCUAAUUUAAAGAUUAGAUGCCAUGUGUUCAGAUUUUUUUUCUUCUGAAAUUGAAAUAUGCCUAUAGUAAAAAAGAAAAUAAAAAUCUCUAUUAAAAUAACUGAUAAUUUUAAUAAAUUUUUCUUCAGCUAAGUAUUAGCAUUUAUAUUAGUCUAAAGGGGCCUUAAGAAAUAUAAGAUAUUCUUUUUGUAGUUCACACGUUAGAUUUAGAUUGAUUAAGAUCUGCAAGACACAUUUUAGGAUGUUACAUAUAUGAGCACAUGAUUUUUGCCUCGCUAAAAUUACUUCUAUAUAAUUCUUCGAAUUAAGAUUUUUACUUUUAUUAUUUAAUUUUUAGGAUUUAAUUGCCUAUUUUUAUGUGUAUUUUUAUUUGUGCGUGCAUGAUAAGUCCUAAAAAAUACAAAAAUUACGUGAGCAUUUAGGAUGUGAUUUUUACAUUAUUUUUUAGACUAAUUAGUAAUUAGGCUUUUUACAAAAUAUAAAAAUCACAAAGAAACUUUGAUUUGUUUGGUUUUGAUUUUAAUUUCCUUUAAAGUAAUAGUAGUUUAAUUGUAAUUGGGUAGAUUGAAUAAAAUUUUCAGAUUUAAUUUUAGUUUGAUUUUUAAUUGAAACAAUAAAUAAACAAUGGAUAAAUGAAAAAGAAUUAAAGAAAAAGAGGUAUAAAGUAGGCUGGCCUGAUAUUGGGCCAAAGCUGGAUGUGACCCAAAUUCAAAUCUUGAUGAAGUUGAAAAAUGUCAAAAAUUACGUGCGCAUUUAUGUGACGUGGUUCGCGACAAGUUUCAGCGGCAUUGCAAAUUUCUUUAAAAACGGUAUAAGUAUUAAAAUUGCAUUUUUAGGAUGAUAAUGUGUAAAAUCAGAGUUUAUAGUCAUUUAUAAUAGUUUAAGCGACCGUACUAGAACCACGAGAUCCGAGGGUGCCUAACACCUUCCCUCGGGUCAACAGAAUUCCUUACCUAAAUUUCUGGUUCGCAGACUCCAUUUGGGCAGUCAAAAAAUUUCCUUGAUUUGUGAUUCUAAAUACACCGGUGACUUGGGAGACCAAAAGCCAAACCUAUCCCAAGUGGCGACUCUAAAUAAAUAAUCCCAUUUCGAAUAAUGUCACUUUAAUUGGAAAAACUCCCUUAUGUGUUUUUUUAUCCUUCGGGGUAGCCGUGUAAAAAAAGAGGUGUGACAGCUCUAGCGACUCUGCUGGGGAGCGAACCCAGAAUCUCUGGUUUAGAGUUCAAGAAUUCGAGUUUACAAUAACUGUUAUAUUUGGCUUCUUCUGAUUUUCUUACAUGUUCUAUGCUAAGUGUUAAAUGUUUUACUGCUUUGAUAUUAUCUGAAUUGUACAUAUAAACUGCUACGAAUCCCUUCACUUCCCCCCUCCGGGAUGUGCUUACUAGUUGAGACCCCCUAUUCUAUUAGUUUCAUACCUGAAAAUAAGAAAGAGGCCGGACAAGUUACUAAGCCGGAUGGCCUUUUAGUUCCCGGUACGUUGCCCCCUCCUCGACUCGAGUUGUCCGCUCGGGUACACAGUCUAGACCCCAUACCAAGGUUUUUAACUUAGAAUAACUUGACCUCAUGCUGGAUCCCUAGUAGGAACGCGUAUUUGCAUCAUGCAUUUGACUUAGCGGACUCAACACAGGGGUUGGGUCCGUCUAGGACAGGUGACCUGAAGUAAAAGACCAUCCUGAUGCAUUUUACGUACUACUUGUGCAUUUAUUCGCCUUGGAGGGACUCAACAAAGGGGUUGAGUCCGUCUAGGACAGGUGACCUGAAAUAAAAGACUAUCGUGAUGCAUUUUACGUACUACUUGUACAUUUAUUUGCUUUGGAUUUGCAUGUUGACUGGAUUGUGAAUAAGGAGAGUAAAUUGAGAAAAUAGCAGUGUUAGGGUGACCACUUAUCUUGUAAAACCCAUGCUCAAAUAGCAUCGAAAUGCUGGAGGAUCUUCAAAAAACAAAACAGCAAAAAAAGAAAAAAGAAAAGGGGGCUUUUCAAUAUUGUUUUGGUUUACAAAGAUUGUUUUGCCCAAACUACGCCGGUUUGAUUCUCAUCAGGUACGAGAUACGUAGGCAACCCCCAUCGAGUCCAACCUCCUUUUUGCGAAAAUAACAAAAACAAAUGUCCAAUUUUACUUAUUCUCUUAAAUAAAUCGAGUGAUGCCCUUACUGCCAGAAAUAGCCGAAUGUUAUCGAAAGGGACGCCGGAAGGCUGAUUUCGCACAAAUGGCCACCUUUGAGUCUUAUUUUGGCCGGUGAACGAGCACAGCCUUAAAAUCUUCCUUUGGAAGUGCUGAAAGGCCAUAUUCGCAAAGCUGGGCCCUGAUUUCGACAAUUAAAUUUCCUAAAAGAAAGAGGUUAGUUUUAAUCUUUUGUGGAGUCAAGUAGGACAAAAUUUUGAGAUACUAAUUCACCCUAAUAAAUGUACAGAAUGAGAACAGAUCAGUAUUUGCUGAUAACAUUCAUGAACAAAAUUCCCUCGGAGCUACACAUGUGGUGGAAUGACCGGGGGAAGCGGGGCAAUACAGGGUCAACAUGUAUUUGGGAGGACUUACUUGGUUGCUGAAAUUAACCUGAGGGGAGAUAUCGUAAAAGCACUAAUCACAUUCAGGGACCCGGCUCACAAUGUAUUCUAUUUAUCUGAUUUUGAACUCACACCGACAUUAGAUGGAUAUAUUGGGACCCUUACGAUUCCCCUUAGGCACCAAUACCUGAUUGCGCCAAGAGCCCUAGCCGUGCACAUAUUUCUGGAUUCCUUAAAAAUCAAUAGGAAGAUUCACAACCCAGAUCUGUCAGCCGGCUUCUGUACCCCGCAGUUUAUAUAUCAGAGGUACGGGCAUAUAGAGGGAUUCAGUAACCCGGAAAACCAUAUUUGUAGCAAAGGAAACCAACUCAAAUGGGAGGAGCAUCGAUGUUUNNNNNNNNNNNNNNNNNNNNNNNNNNNNNNNNNNNNNNNNNNNNNNNNNNNNNNNNNNNNNNNNNNNNNNNNNNNNNNNNNNNNNNNNNNNNNNNNNNNNNNNNNNNNNNNNNNNNNNNNNNNNNNNNNNNNNNAUAUGGUUUUCUUCUUGGGUCUUGUGGUGUUUCCGCGGAAGGAUGGAAAUAUUGAUAUACGGAUAGCAGGGGUCGUCAGCGCUUUACUAACCCAGGCCAAAACACCCCCGCUCCUAUGAUUUUAUCCGAGAUCUUCCGUGCUCUCACCGCCUGUAAAGCGGGAGGAGACUUCUUUGAAGGAUGUAACCUGUUGUUACAUAUAUGGAUGAUCGAGCAUUUAUGCCACUGGCCUCGGUUCAUGAAUUAUGGGUCACCAACAAAGAGCUGAUAGAAGAAUUCUGCAAUAGGGUUGAUAAGUUUAGGUUACCUAGGGGUGUCACAGAAUUAGUGUCGCAUCUCCGGGAUGUCACUGUAAAUAAGAUAGAAUGGACAUUCGGGUGGCUCCCUGUGGAUGAAAUUGUGUAUAUGCCAGCCACUAGGCCUCAUUUCCUUUAUAUGGGUCUCCGAAGUAUCCAACCCUAUGCGCCAUAUAGAGUUCUAAGGCAAUUGGGUAGAUGCCAAAUGAUUCCCAGGGACGAGGAUAUUAGCCACCAUGCGGUUGAGAUUAGCCCCAAUGGUCAAUUCCCUGACCGUCUGUGUCAAAACUGGAGCGAAUGUUAAUACUUGACAGCGAGUACCCGAGUACGCGACAUAUCUGAAGGUAAGGUUUCACCGGGAUACAUUUCUUGGUACAAAAAAGAAAUAGAGCCCGUAAGGCCAGCUAAAAGAUCGCAUCUCCAAGAAUUUGUUGAAACGUCACAAGAGCAAUGGGAUUGGCUAGCCAAGGAAACUGAAUACAGGGCCACCAUAGGAAGAUUGGAAAAGUAAGCCAAAGAGCUACAAUUUGAAAAUUGUUUGCAAGCCGCAGCAUAUGAGGGAGAAAAGAAAAGAUUAACCAAAGAAAACAAGGCGUUGCGAGCCCAAAUUCAGAAAAUGAAAGCAGGAGCGCAAAGUCCUCCCAGGAGCGGGAAGGAUGAAAAACUCAUAGAGAAUUUGAGGCGAAAGGUAACCGAGUAUGGGUUUGACUUGAAAAGGCGGAAGGCGAACUAUCCAGGGUUCGGAAACAAUUAGCUAAAAGUGCGGAGGAACGAGCCCGCAUCCUCAUGCAUAAUGAUGAGAUUGCUGGAUUGAAAUUUAGGGUCAUCAUGGCUGAGAACAGAGUCGCCAAGCAAGUGGAGGACUUCAAAGCCGAGAGAGAACAUUGUUAUGCAGUGAUAGAAAGGUUGGAGAUGGAUUUGCGGCAAUUCCAAGAACUGAUCAGGUAGCAGAGCAAACUUUAGAGGCAAUGGCCGAGCAAAUUGGGCGGUUGUUGUAAGAAAAGGGUGUUGUUAGGGAAAGGGUACGGGCGAUCGCUGACUACAUCACCACAAAGUGCAACCAUUGCGAGGACAUGACAAGAUCCAUGUUCUUUGCCACUGCCAUGACCUUUGUCCGGCAAGUGAUAGAGGACCUCCACAGUCUCCAAGGGAGUUUAGCACGCAAGCCUGCGGCAAGGCCCAAUGAUGCCCCGCGAGCUCCAAGAGCAGUUGAAGUCUUUAUGUAUUCAUGAUUUUUGAAAAUUGUAUUUUUCCUUAAAAGAGUCUGCUAGUCUGUAUUUUCUUUUAUGCAUUAUUACUCUUUGAGUAUGUAGUUCUUAGUAUGUACGAGUCUGUUAGUUGCCUUUAUAACUCUGCCAGUCUUUGUAACCAAAGCUUUAUAAGAAUUGAAAAUUCCAAAAAAAAAAUCUUGUUAUUUUUAUUUCACUUCUCAUGAACUGCACUCGGUCUGAUUUAUGCGGGGCAUGAUACGUAGUCAAUCUUCAUAGGAUUCGAUCGUAUUCUUAAAAAGGGGAAAACCAAAGCAAGGAAACAAAGAGUGGAAAUCAAAAGGAAGUUUGGAAUAAACGCCGGGAUGACGCACGCGACUAUUGCAAGCAUAUUGACACCCGUUAACUGUAUAGGUGCAUCACACCAAACGUGCGAUUCCUUGUAUGUUAUCUGUCUCAAACUAACCAUUUGUUUGAUAUCACUCCAGUUUCAGGCUUUCGAAACACUGGCUGGGUUGUGGUUUUCUGGCAUCAUAUCGAUAUUUUACCAGAUCAAAAGGAAGCGCAGAAAUGUCAUUUGAAAUGACUUUGCCGAUAGUUCCCAUCUCAGAGGAUAGCCCGAUUGCAGGUAUCCCGGCCUCAGAAUCUGCGGCAGCUGAAAAAAAUAGGAUCCUACGACUUAGAGUCAUGGAGAUAUAGGAUGCUUGGACGAAUGGAAAAGAGCCUCCGAGCGCCAUCCCUGGAUUUAAUGAGCUCUUCC